UACGAAGGGUGCAAGCGUUACUCGGAAUUACUGGGCGUAAAGCGUGCGUAGGUGGUUUGUUAAGUCUGAUGUGAAAGCCCUGGGCUCAACCUGGGAAUUGCAUUGGAUACUGGCAGGCUAGAGUGCGGUAGAGGGUAGUGGAAUUCCCGGUGUAGCAGUGAAAUGCGUAGAGAUCGGGAGGAACACCAGUGGCGAAGGCAAUGUUCUGGCUCGUUUCUGACGCUCAGGUGCGAAAGCCAGGGGAGCGAACGGG
This 253-nucleotide ribosomal RNA is filed under the name uncultured bacterium. Its description in RNAcentral is "partial 16S ribosomal RNA". It matches the Rfam family "Bacterial small subunit ribosomal RNA", at positions 524 to 776 of the family's 1533-position model. The record is from RNAcentral.